This is a non-coding RNA of Pelobates cultripes (western spadefoot toad), 228 nucleotides long. The record is from the annotation of a GenBank genome assembly. NCBI's taxonomy places the organism in Eukaryota, Metazoa, Chordata, Amphibia, Anura, Pelobatidae.
GGGUGGUCUAAUGGUUCGGUAGUUUUCAUUCGUAUGGAAUAUGGAUGGAAACUACCGAACAAUCAUUCGAAUGCUACAUACAAUCUAUCUAUACAGGAAAAUAAACACACAAAUUAAAUUUUUAACACAACCUUUGAGGACAGCCCCAUGCCAUCUGCUACACUGCUCCCCCUUGCCCACAAGCCGGCAUACACAGUCUGAUCCAACACGGAUCGGCUUGGGGAUGAC